Molecule: long non-coding RNA, 1384 nt
Filed under: Ursus maritimus (polar bear)
Lineage: Eukaryota; Metazoa; Chordata; Mammalia; Carnivora; Ursidae
Description: lncRNA (ENSUMAG00000007487.1)
Source: RNAcentral
AUGUCCAUCGGGUCCCCAGCUGCUCAAGGUCCUAGUACCUGUCCCCUUCUGCUCGCUGGAGACGUGGUCUGGCAGCCAGGCAGUGAUUCUCCAGUGACCAUCCCCUCUCCACCUAUUCCCCGGGGCCGGGGUCCUGCAGCUGAAUACAAGCGUCUCUCCCCGACCUGCACAAACACAGGUGUAGGCACCACUACUUCGUUCGUACAACCCGCUGGAGACCUUGGCCCUGCACCCCCCAGGAGGAGGGGGGGCCUCUGCCAGCGCAAUCCCAGCUACCCACACCCACACCUGGCCCUGCACAGAAAACGUAGCCAUAGCUAUGGACUUGGAGAAACAUACAUUCAUCUUCUAUGCACAGCUGUCCCCCAGCUCUCCAGGCCCACUUACCUGAUGAUGACAGAAGUAACUCCGGCUACCAUCGACUGGGUACUCGCGGUGCAGGGCACCAACUGCUUUCCAUAUGUGAUCUUACUUAAUUUUCACUUGAUAAGGUAGGUACCACUGUGAUUUACAGGAGGGGAAACAGAGGCUCAGAGAGGUUAAGUAUCUUGAUCCAGGUCACACAGCUGGUUAGCGCCAAAGCUAGGAUUAGAAACCAGGUCCUUGUCAGACUCCAGAGCCUGUGGGCUGAAGUGCUGGGCAACCUUGGCUCCCACUUACUUCACUCGCACUCCCCUUCCAUGCAGCUCUGUCCUCUGUUUAUCCCCCCUUCCCUGGUGCUCUGCUCUGCCAGGGCCUCAAGUGGUCAAGAUCAUCAGGGUUCUGUUGGGAAGGCAGGUCCUUAUUCUGCUUGUCUCCAACCUCCCCCAACUACCCAAGGACCGACGUCCAGUCCCAAGCCUCGUGCAGGAGCCUGGGUCAUUUUUGCUGCCAAGGAGAACCGGGCAGGGUGACAGGAGCAAGUUCCAAUCACCGGUUAACACCCCCAGGCCGGUAACAUCCAUAGCGAUGAAGCUUACCUGCUGGCCUGAAAAGACGUCCUCGUAUAUUGCUCGAUUGAAAAAGGCAACAAAGCAGGGCUUUUUUUCUUUUUCUUUUCUUCUUUUUCUCCUUCUUCUUUUUUUUUUUUCCAGUAAUCUCUCCGCCCAACAUGGAGCUCGCACUCACAACCCCAAGGUCAAGAGUUCCACCAUCUGAGCCAGCCAGGUGUCCCAAGAAAGCAGGUUUCAAGCAAUGUACAGCAAGAAAACAUUUUAUUGAUGAAACAAAAGUAUUCUCUAUGUAUCAAAGCAUAGAAAAGGGAUAUUUGCCAAGUUGCUAAGAAAUGACUUUUGUUGUCUUCUCUGGCUUAUCUGUGUUUUCUAAUUUUUUUCAACGAACAUAGAUUAUUCACAAUAUUUUAAAAAGCAAUAAAAACGAAUCAAUCCCAGGCUGAUUAUACCUC